This 332-nucleotide ribosomal RNA is filed under the name uncultured bacterium. Its description in RNAcentral is "bacterial SSU rRNA". It matches the Rfam family "Bacterial small subunit ribosomal RNA", at positions 162 to 507 of the family's 1533-position model. The record is from RNAcentral.
CGUAAUACCGGAUAGGAGCUCCUGCUGCAUGGUGGGGGUUGGAAAGGUUUAGGCGGUUGGGGAGUGGACUCGCGGCUUAUCAGCUUGUUGGUGGGGUAGUGGCUACCAAGGCUUUGACGGGUAGCCGGCCUGAGAGGGUGACCGGCCACAUUGGGACUGAGAUACGGCCCAGACUCCUACGGGAGGCAGCAGUGGGGAAUAUUGCACAAUGGGCGGAAGCCUGAUGCAGCAACGCCGCGUGCGGGAUGACGGCCUUCGGGUUGUAAACCGCUUUCGCCUGUGACGAAGCGUGAGUGACGGUAAUGGGUAAAGAAGCACCGGCUAACUACGUG